CCGAGUUUACAACUCCCAAACCCCAUGUGAACAUACCUGUUUCGUUCCCUCGGCGGUGUCCGGCAACGGCCCGCCAGAGGACCCAACAAACUCUUUUGAAUUUUUCAGUAUCUUCUGAGUAAAAAACAAAUAAAUCA
This 137-nucleotide unclassified non-coding RNA is filed under the name Calonectria candelabrum. RNAcentral describes it as "Calonectria candelabra internal transcribed sequence 1". RNAcentral also lists the same sequence under 1 other name. Lineage: Eukaryota; Fungi; Ascomycota; Sordariomycetes; Hypocreales; Nectriaceae. The record is from RNAcentral.